CAGACACAGAGGGUUGUCUCAGAGCCAAAGGAGUCUCAUGCUGGAGAGGCUAGAUUUUGAAUCACUUCCCAAGUCUGAUAAGGGUUUAUUCAUUGGAGUAAGCCACUUGCCUGCCUUUCUGGAUUGCUGCUAAGGUUGGCUGACAAAUUGGACAUGCAUUGGCAGAUGGAGCAAUAGAUAGGAUGAAGAGGGGUUGGCAUCACUGAGCAGUCUGGGCUUCCUGUAUCUCUACCUACCUUCUCUGUCCCUAGACGUCAAAUGUUCUAGACAUGGCACCUGGACCUAGGACUGGAAGACCAGGAAGAUGGCAUACAAUGCAUGUCCGCAUUGCAUGGCAGAUCCACCACCAUAAGCUGAGAGUGAAGCAGAAGAUGCAAGUGGACUCACAUGCAAUCAGCUUCGGUAUCAAGCCGGAGUUACUGACUCAGCCUCCUGGUCCUGACCUGAUUCAAGCCAUCCACCAUCAGCGGGACCUUAUUCAGUCCUCCACCCCACUCUCUAACCCAGAGAGAAAUGACUCAACAUAGCAUUUUCCCAUUGUUCUCCUGCUCCGGAGUCACACAGUUUGGGGACACUGAGUGUCACAGCCUUUGGUGGCAUGGCAAACCUAGCACUAAACUAUCCCACAGACAAUACAAAUGCACCAAGUGGAGAAGUAGGAGGAACUCCUGAGUGGUGGAGCAGGCAGCAGAAGACACCCCCUAAGAGACCCACCGUGGGAUGUAUACAGAGGUAUGGACCUCCCUGUCUCCUCCUGUCAAGAGCUGGUCAUGAGGGCUGAUCCUCUACAUGGUGUGGUGGGGGCCAGGCUGUUGGAGGCAGCAGAAUGGUCAUACAGAGACCCUCAUCACAGCUUUCCACACCCACCCCAUCACCCCUGAAGCAGCAGUGGAGGGCUUACCUCAUGGAGAGGGACCGUCUGCACAUGCUCAGAGAGGAAUACUACCAGCACAGCCUCCAUUCUGCCACCUUGGGCGGCCAUCUCCCCUAUCCCAGCCUCCUGACCUCCACCUAUUCCGGGUCACAUAUCUCCAAGGUGGGUCUCACAGAGCCCCCAGAGUAGCCUCCCCAACAAAACUCUUCCCCCUGGGUCCUUAAGCACACUGCCGCCUCUGGUCCCCUUGUCUGGCGCUCCCCACAGGACUGCCUCUUAAUGACAGAAAUCAGAAGACCCUACUCUGUGUGCUUGCUUGCCUUAGAACUG
RNA transcript from Coregonus clupeaformis (lake whitefish), 1204 nucleotides. It is a transcript of the gene named autism susceptibility gene 2 protein-like, with no coding region annotated. The record is from RefSeq and is a predicted model, not a curated record. Lineage: Eukaryota; Metazoa; Chordata; Actinopteri; Salmoniformes; Salmonidae. The transcript has 7 exons.